UACGUAGGGGGCAAGCGUUGUCCGGAAUUAUUGGGCGUAAAGCGCGCGCAGGCGGCCUUUUAAGUCUGAUGUGAAAGCCCACGGCUCAACCGUGGAAGGUCAUUGGAAACUGAAAGGCUUGAGUACAGAAGAGGAAAGCGGAAUUCCACGUGUAGCGGUGGAAUGCGUAGAGAUGUGGAGGAACACCAGUGGCGAAGGCGGCUUUCUGGUCUGUAACUGACGCUGAGGCGCGAAAGCGUGGGGAGCAAACAGG
Molecule: ribosomal RNA, 253 nt
Filed under: uncultured bacterium
Lineage: Bacteria
Description: partial 16S ribosomal RNA
Rfam family: Bacterial small subunit ribosomal RNA
Source: RNAcentral